GAUGAACGCUGGCGGCGUGCUUAACACAUGCAAGUCGAACGGAAAGGCUCCUGCUUGCAGGGGUACUCGAGUGGCGAACGGGUGAGUAACACGUGGGUGAUCUGCCCUGCACUUCGGGAUAAGCCUGGGAAACUGGGUCUAAUACCGGAUAGGACGAUGGUUUGGAUGCCAUUGUGGAAAGUUUUUUCGGUGUGGGAUGAGCUCGCGGCCUAUCAGCUUGUUGGUGGGGUAAUGGCCUACCAAGGCGUCGACGGGUAGCCGGCCUGAGAGGGUGUACGGCCAAAUGGGGAAGAGGAAACGGCCCAGACCCCUAGGGGGGGGAGGGGGGGGGAAUUUUGCAAAAUGGGGGCAAGCCUGAGGGAGGGGCGCCGGGGGGGGGAUGGCGGCCUUCGGGUUGAAAACUCCUUUCGCGGGGGACGAAGGGCAAGUGGGGGUCCCUGGAGAAGAAGCCGCGGCAAACUACGU
This 465-nucleotide ribosomal RNA is filed under the name uncultured bacterium. RNAcentral's name for it is "partial 16S ribosomal RNA". It matches the Rfam family "Bacterial small subunit ribosomal RNA", at positions 28 to 506 of the family's 1533-position model. The record is from RNAcentral.